GAUGAACGCUGGCGGCAUGCCUAAUACAUGCAAGUCGAACGAGAGGAAGGAAAGCUUGCUUUCCUGAAUCUAGUGGCGAACGGGUGAGUAACACGUAGGUAACCUGCCCAUGUGCCCGGGAUAACUUCUGGAAACGGAUGCUAAAACCGGAUAGGUAGCAGACAAGCAUUUGACUGCUAUUAAAGUGGCCUCGGCCAUGAACAUGGAUGGACCUGCGGUGCAUUAGCUGGUUGGUGAGGUAACGGCCCACCAAGGCGACGAUGCAUAGCCGGCCUGGAGAGGGCGGACGGCCACAUUGGGACUGAGACCACGGGCCCAAACUCCGUACGGGAGCAGCAGUAGGGAAUUUUUCGCAAGUGGGGGAACCCUGAACGAGCAAUGCCGCGUGAGUGAGGAGGUCUCGGAUCGUAAAGCUCUGUUGUAAGAGAAAAACGGCACUCAGUAGGGAAUGAUGAGUGAGUGAU
This 464-nucleotide ribosomal RNA is filed under the name uncultured bacterium. RNAcentral's name for it is "bacterial SSU rRNA". It matches the Rfam family "Bacterial small subunit ribosomal RNA", at positions 28 to 473 of the family's 1533-position model. The record is from RNAcentral.